UACAGAGGUCUCAAGCGUUGUUCGGAUUCAUUGGGCGUAAAGGGUGCGUAGGUGGUCGGGUAAGUCUGAUGUGAAAUCUCCGGGCUCAACCCGGAAAUGGCAUUGGAUACUAUUUGACUAGAGGGUUGGAGGGGGGACUGGAAUACUUGGUGUAGCAGUGAAAUGCGUAGAUAUCAAGUGGAACACCAGUGGCGAAGGCGAGUCCCUGGACAACUCCUGACACUGAGGCACGAAAGCUAGGGGAGCAAACAGG
Molecule: ribosomal RNA, 253 nt
Filed under: uncultured bacterium
Lineage: Bacteria
Description: partial 16S ribosomal RNA
Rfam family: Bacterial small subunit ribosomal RNA
Source: RNAcentral